UACGAAGGGGGGCUAGCGUUGCUCGGAAUUAUUGGGCGUAAAGGGUGCGUAGGCGGUUUGGUAAGUCUUGUGUGAAAUCUACAGGCUCAACUUGUAGUCUGCACGAGAAACUGCCGGGCUUGAGUAUGGGAGAGGUGAGUGGAAUUUCCGGUGUAGCGGUGAAAUGCGUAGAUAUCGGAAGGAACACCUGUGGCGAAAGCGGCUCACUGGACCAUAACUGACGCUGAUGCACGAAAGCUAGGGGAGCAAACAGG
RNAcentral lists this ribosomal RNA (254 nucleotides) under uncultured bacterium. RNAcentral's name for it is "partial 16S ribosomal RNA". It matches the Rfam family "Bacterial small subunit ribosomal RNA", at positions 524 to 776 of the family's 1533-position model. The record is from RNAcentral.